GAUGAACGCUAGCGACAGGCUUAACACAUGCAAGUCGAGGGGCAGCAUGAUUUGUAGCAAUACAGAUUGAUGGCGACCGGCGCACGGGUGAGUAACGCGUAUGCAACUUACCUAUCAGAGGGGAUAGCCCGGCGAAAGUCGGAUUAAUACCCCAUAAAACAGGGGUCCCGCAUGGGAAUAUUUGUUAAAGAUUCAUCGCUGAUAGAUAGGCAUGCGUUCCAUUAGGCAGUUGGCGGGGUAACGGCCCACCAAACCGACGAUGGAUAGGGGUUCUGAGAGGAAGGUCCCCCACAUUGGUACUGAGACACGGACCAAACUCCUACGGGAGGCAGCAGUGAGGAAUAUUGGUCAAUGGCCGAGAGGCUGAACCAGCCAAGUCGCGUGAAGGAAGAAGGAUCUAUGGUUUGUAAACUUCUUUUAUAGGGGAAUAAAGUGGAGGACGUGUCCUUUUUUGUAUGUACCCUAUGAAUAAGCAUCGGCUAACUCCGUG
Molecule: ribosomal RNA, 490 nt
Filed under: uncultured bacterium
Lineage: Bacteria
Description: bacterial SSU rRNA
Rfam family: Bacterial small subunit ribosomal RNA
Source: RNAcentral